AGCAGCUAUUGAAUUGGGUAAAUCCGUGAAUGUCACUAUGAAUUUAGUAAAUGGGGUGAGAGCUUUAUAAACUAAUGGCUAAAAGUUGCCCAAGAUAAUAACCACAUUGUAUGCCGGCCAGAUGUUGUAGGAUAAGAUUGAGUACUAGGCUGCUACAUGGAUCAUGAUCAAGUAGAAUGUGAUCUUUAAUUGGGAGGAGAGGAUUUAAGAUUUUCUGCAUAAAGAAUGUUAUUUUGUUAUUGAAAGGGAUUAUUAUCUCAUAUGCUACCUUACUAGAGAGCUAUUACCUUCUGUUAUUUCUCAUAGUAGGGUCCUGUAGCGGAAUAAUUUUAGGGACUUCAACCUUUCAACAUUUUUAUGAGAAAUAGUAGCAGCAUUUAGGACUCUACUGGUGAUUUCUGGUUGCAACGCCUAGAUUCUUGCUGUUUUAUCAAACAGUGACCCUCUGGAGAACGAGGACUGAAAUUUUUUAUCCUAUUGAGCUUAUCUUCAAUUCUUGGGUUCAAUUUGCAAUGUCAUUUCCCUUAGUGACUGAAACUAUUGGGGUUGGGACAUGAUAGCCAUCUCAUUUCUGGUAAAAGGUUUCAUGUUUCAAAUUAUUUGGUGCUGACUGAAUUCUGAUUUUAAAGUGUUGGUAGUUUAGGUGCAAAUACAUAUGCCGAUUAAACAAAUUGGUAAAUGAUGCAAUUACAUCAGUGAAAUGUGAUGCUAUUGUAAGAUUGAACCGAAAGAAACCUCAUUUGCAUUUUUUUUUUCUUUUUUAAUGAAAUUACUCCAUUAUAUAAUGUAAUUCAACAUGAUAGAAUGAACAACUUAUUGUUGAUUAUUGUUUUUUUGUAACAUUUGAGUUUACCAAAUUAUGUUCUUCCCAGACUUUUAUCCAUAGAUGAAUUAUUAAUAAAAUCAAUCUACUUUGAUCCUCUACUAAGUUGAAUUGGGUUGUAUGUAUAAUAUGGAUUCUAUUUGUAGAUGUGGCAGCCCUCCAUCGGGAAAUGAAAUCGUAAGAAAGUCCGAUCCUUGGCCAGCCUGUUGUGUCACCGGCACGAGUUGCUAUAGAGCAUGGAGAUGUGAGCUCCGGCAUAUCCAAUCUGCGGACUAAAAACCCGAAUAAAUUUAAAAUGUAUUAUAUAUUAUAUGAUGAACUCAUAU
This 1149-nucleotide unclassified non-coding RNA is filed under the name Hevea brasiliensis (rubber tree). Lineage: Eukaryota; Viridiplantae; Streptophyta; Magnoliopsida; Malpighiales; Euphorbiaceae. The record is from RNAcentral.